CCUUCGGGCCUCUCGCGUCAGGAUAUGCCUAGGUGGGAUUAGCUAGUUGGUGAGGUAAGGGCUCACCAAGGCGACGAUCCCUAGCUGGUCUGAGAGGAUGAUCAGCCACACUGGAACUGAGACACGGUCCAGACUCCUACGGGAGGCAGCAGUGGGGAAUAUUGCACAAUGGGCGCAAGCCUGAUGCAGCCAUGCCGCGUGUGUGAAGAAGGCCUUCGGGUUGUAAAGCACUUUCAGUCGUGAGGAAGGCGGYGUMGUUAAUAGCKGCRUYGUUUGACGUUAGCGACAGAAGAAGCACCGGCUAACUCCGUGCCAGCAGCCGCGGUAAUACGGAGGGUGCGAGCGUUAAUCGGAAUUACUGGGCGUAAAGCGCAUGCAGGUGGUUUGUUAAGUCAGAUGUGAAAGCCCGGGGCUCAACCUCGGAAUWGCAUUUGAAACUGGCAGACUAGAGUACUGUAGAGGGGGGUAGAAUUUCAGGUGUAGCGGUGAAAUGCGUAGAGAUCUGAAGGAAUACCGGUGGC
Molecule: ribosomal RNA, 521 nt
Filed under: Vibrio parahaemolyticus
Lineage: Bacteria; Pseudomonadati; Pseudomonadota; Gammaproteobacteria; Vibrionales; Vibrionaceae
Description: bacterial SSU rRNA
Source: RNAcentral